Molecule: ribosomal RNA, 419 nt
Filed under: uncultured bacterium
Lineage: Bacteria
Description: partial 16S ribosomal RNA
Rfam family: Bacterial small subunit ribosomal RNA
Source: RNAcentral
AAUAUUGGUCAAUGGAGGCAACUCUGAACCAGCUACGUCGCGUGAAUUAUGACGGCCCUACGGGUUGUAUACUUCUUUUAUACAGGAAUAAAGUGAGUCACUUGUGACUUGUUGGUUGUACUGUAUGAAUAUGGAUCGGUUUAUCCCGUGCCAGCAGCCGCGGUAAUACGGAGGAUCCAAGCGUUAGCCGGAUUUAUUGGGUUUAAAGGGUGCGCAGGCGGAAGAUUAAGUCGGCAGUGAAAUUUUGAAGCUCAACUGUAAAAGUGCCAUCGAUACUGGUUAUCUUAAGUGUGGAUGAAGUACGCGGAAUUUGUGGUGUAGCGGUGAAAUGCAUAGAUAUCACGAGGAACUCCGAUUGCGCAGGCAGCUUACUAGGCCAUAACUGACGCUCAGGCACGAAGGCGUGGGGAUCAAACAGG